Molecule: long non-coding RNA, 1612 nt
Filed under: Homo sapiens (human)
Lineage: Eukaryota; Metazoa; Chordata; Mammalia; Primates; Hominidae
Description: HSALNT0306803
Source: RNAcentral
ACCAGCCUGAGCAACAUAGCAAGACCCCUUCUUUACAAAAAGUUUAAAUUUUAUAAUAAAAAGAAAAAAAUAAUAGUGCUGGCCUCACAAGGCCUUGAUAGGGAUUAUCUCAGUCAUGAUGAUCACUUUAUAAAUAUUAAUAAAAAUAAAAGCCAAUCUUAACUUUGAAUAUGAAUGGUGCCAAAGAGCAGCAAAAUGAAAAAAUGUGUAUAGUUAAAUAAUUACUUUGAGUUUCCUGUUUAUAUUUUCAUGAUUGAAAAGUUCUCAAGAGCAGAAUACCAAAAGCUAGAAGUGGUAACACUAUUUUAUUUCCAUAUUUCUUUGGAACUGUAGUUGUCUAAAAAGUAUCAUAAAUUAAAAAGCCAAGUGGCUAUGACUUUUCUGUCUUGUUUAGCUCUGUGUCACAGAACCCAAGUUACAGAUAUUCUAAUCAUAAUUUUCUAAUUUUCUUGAGUGGCUUUAUAAAAUGUUUUUCCCUAAAUGACUUAAUAUAGUGUUUAUAUGGUGUUCUUUUGUUUAUUUUAUGAACAAUAAUAUUUCUUUUUGCUUUGAUCAAUUCAAAAUAUAAUUUAUGCUCCUAGCUAUGUGUUGGAACAUCUCCAAAAGGCUCUCAAGGAUAAUUUCUAAAAAAAAAUGGAGGGAAGGGUUUAUAAAUGUCUUAAAUCAAUUACUUUGAUAGAUUACAUGAGGAUUUGCAGCAUUAGGAUUGAGUUCAGAAGAGGCAACACAAGGGGACCGUUUCUUCAGAAAACUUGAUAUAAAUAAGCAGAUUGUUAGGUCAAAGAAGGGGAGCUGCAGGGACAACUAAGCUAUCUGUGUGGCCCCAUCUUUCCUGUGAUGGGCUUGGAACCUGCAUUGUGUGGCAUCAGUUACUGUGACAACCAACAAUAGGAAAAGAGUUAGAGGCUUAACAAGAAAGAGUAAAUAGGACCAGAAAAACUGGACAUCUAUGCUGACUCACAAAGGCUUGCCAGGAAAGGAGCCAGGCAGAGAAGGUUGUGGCCCAUUUAUGGUCUUGAAAUCAACUGAAUGUGUUAUGACCAGCGAGACAAAACGAAACAGAAUGGAACAGGGGGAAAUGUAGCAGCAUGUCAUAUUAGGUGACUGGAGUCAGGGAGAGAGCCUGUGCCUGUGCGAGGAAUGGUACAUAACCUCCGUGCUCCUUGGAAAAUCAGCAGCAGCAUUUUCAUAUCUGAAGAAUCUCUAUGCCAACUAUGUCAACCUUUUCAGAUGUGCAAAUUGCACCUAGUAGGUACAAGGGCUAGCAGAUGGCUCUAAUUUCAGAGUGCCCUUGACUACUAAAAAGAAGGCACUGAUGAGAAUUUGUCUCAGGCCAGUAUUUGGUUCUGCUACAUAUAGAAGGGAUUAGCCCUUCACUCGGAGGAUCACCAGCACAUACUCUCUGUGUGGCCCAGUCCAACUUCUGUCCUGUGGGCUGCUGCCCUGUUCUACCACCUAGUGCCCAGGCAAAACCCACAUUUUAAAAUGCAAAGGAAUAACCACUGCAUGGUAAACUUAGUGGGAAGGAAUCAUACAUACUACAGGAUCAGAUGUGCAUCCACAGGAGCAAUUUUCUGAAUUGACCAAGAAGGUAAGAGCAUCUCUGACUUUG